AAGCCCCGAGAGUCCCAAGCUUAUCCCUCCCCAAAACCCCACGCUCAGUUCCGGCUCGCCGUCUCCUCUUCCCCGCUCCUCUCGGGCCGGCGGGGCACUUCCUUGUUCGCCAUCACUUCGCGACCCCGAAAUGGCGUCUUGCCCUCUGUUCCUCCUUGUCCCGCACCCCCCUCCCCCGCUCGUCGCCAUCCCGCGCCGUCACUCGCCCCUCCCACACAUCCUAACCAGCUGCCGCAGCCCCCUUCUCAGCCGCCAGCAGAGCUUCCGCUGCCGCUGCUCCUCCUCAUCCUCGUCUUCCUCCUCCUCCGGCCCUCGUGAGCGUUCGCCUAGGCCUCAGCAGCAGCAGGGGUGUACGCAGCAGCGGCCCGGCCGCGGCAGCGCUGUGGACCCCGUGGGCUUCCUUGCCAAGAUUGGCGUCUCCGACCGCGCAUUCGCCCAGUUCCUUCGCGACCGGCACAAGGCUUUCAAGGACCGCAAAUGGGAGAUGCACUCUCGGUUUAUUGAUUUGAAGGAGGCGUCCUCUGGAUUUGAUUUACUGGGCCUGCACCGACAUCGGCAGCACCGUGUGGAUUUCAUGGAUUGGGCACCAGGUGCUCGGUAUUGUUCUCUGGUUGGUGAUUUCAAUCAGUGGUCAGCAACUGAAAACUGUGCAAGAGAAGGUCAUUUGGGACAUGAUGAUUUUGGAUAUUGGUUUGUCAUACUUGAAGAUAAGCUCCGAGAAGGGCAAGAAGCAGAUGAAUAUUUUUUCCAAGAGUACAAUUAUGUGGAUGAUUAUGAUAAAGGAGACAAUGGUGUCAAUGCUGAAGAUUUAAUCCGUAGAAUGAAUGAAGAGUAUUGGGAACCCGGAGAAGUUAAGUCACGGAGGUCUCGGUUGGAGACGGUCGCAAAGCUGUACGAGCAGAUGUUUGGCCCAAAUGGUCCGCAGACAGAAGAGGAACUAGGUGAAAUUCCUGAUGCAGAGACAAGAUAUAAGAACUGGAAAGCCACACAAAAGGAUGAUUUGUCAAGUUCGUCGCCUUCCUACGAUAUCAUUGACACUGGACAGGAUUUUGACAUUUUUAAUGUUGUAACUGACCGAGCAUCAUUUGAGAAGUUUCAAGCAAAGGCAACCCCCCUUGCCUACUGGGUUGAAAUGAGGAAAGGAAGAAAAGCCUGGAUAGAGAAAUAUGUUCCCGCGAUUUCUCAUAAAGACAAGUACAGGGUUUAUUUUAAUACUCCUGAUGGUGCAUUAGAACGUGUACCUGCUUGGGCAACUUACGUACUUCCAGAUGCAGAAGGGAUGCAAUCCUAUGCAGUACAUUGGGAGCCUCCUCCGGAAGAAAUUUACAAAUGGAGAUUUCAACGACCGAAAAUCAAAGGUUCACUUAGGAUAUAUGAAUGUCAUGUUGGAAUAAGUGGAUCUGAGCAAAAAAUAUCAUCGUUUCAGGAGUUCAUGUCCAGUGUCCUACCUCAUAUAAAAGAAGCUGGAUAUAAUGCUAUUCAAUUAAUUGGAGUCCCAGAGCACAAGGAUUACUCCUCUGUUGGCUAUAAGGUCACAAAUUAUUUUGCAGUCAGUAGCAGAUUUGGGACCCCAGAUGACUUCAAGAAAUUAGUGGAUGAGGCACACGGUCUUGGGUUACUGGUGCUUCUUGAUAUUGUCCACUCCUAUGCAUCGGCAGACGAAUUGGUUGGCCUAUCCCUUUACGAUGGAUCUAACGAUUGCUACUUCCACAGCGGAAAAAGAGGGCAUCACAAAUACUGGGGCACCAGAAUGUUCAAAUAUGAUGAUGUUGAUGUUCUGCACUUCUUAUUGUCUAAUUUAAAUUGGUGGGUCACUGAAUACCAGAUUGAUGGAUUCCAGUUUCACUCACUCUCAUCAAUGUUAUAUACUCACAAUGGUUUUUCUACCUUUACUGGUGCCAUAGAAGAGUAUUGCAAUCAAUACGUGGACAAGGAUGCGCUGAUAUAUCUAAUUCUAGCAAAUGAGAUGUUACAUGAGCUCCAUCCAGAUAUUAUAACAAUAGCAGAGGAUGCAACAUAUUAUCCUGGGUUAUGUGAGCCAACCACUCAAGGUGGAUUAGGAUUCGACUACUGGACCAAUCUGUCUAUUCCAGACAUGUGGCUGUGGCAUCUUGAAAAUGUUCCAGAGCGGGAAUGGAGCAUGAGCAAGAUUAUGAAAGUAUUAAUAAGCAGCAACCACAAUAUGCUGUCUUAUGUUGAGAAUCAUAACCAGUCAAUAUCAGGACGGAAGUCUUUUGCUGAGAUAGUUCUUAAUACAGGAAUGAGCUCUAGUGGUUCGGUGGAUGAUGAUUUGAUUUUCAGAGCGUCCUCGUUGCUCAAAAUAAUCAAACUAAUUACUUUUACAACAAGUGGAGGCGCAUAUCUUAACUUCAUGGGUAAUGAAUUUGCACAUCCAAAGAGAGUUGAGUUUCCUAUGUCAAGCAAUGAUUAUUCCUUCCACCUAGCUUAUCGGCAGUGGGAACUAUUGGACAAGGGUGUUCAUAAAAAUGUAUUCAAUUUUGACAAGGAUAUAAUGACCUUGGAUGAAAAUGAAAGGAUCAUUUCAAGAGGUUCACUCAAUAUUCAUCACUGUGAUGAUACAAACAUGGUCAUAUCUUUCACGAGAGGACCUUUCCUUUUUGUAUUUAACUUCAAUCCAGAUGUCCCCUAUCAACUGUAUCGUAUUGGUGUGGAUGAAGCUGGGGAAUAUCAACUUAUCUUAAACACGGAUGAAACUAAAUAUGGUGGUUGCGGGGAGCUCAACAGUAGUCAGUAUAUGAAAAGGACCAAUGACAAAAGGGUUGAUGGUUGUCGAAACUCCUUGGAAUUGACAUUAGCAUCUAGAAGUGCUCAGGUAUACAAGUUGGUCCGAAUUUUGAGAAUUUAGUCUGUCAACAAUAAUUACUGUUGAUAGACUAAGUAAUCGUUGUCCUUAGAAGCUGGACCAUCAAUGCCAAUGUCCAUACUCACGCAAGUUGAAAAUUUGAAUGGUGAAACUGAGGUAAAGGAAAAGCUAGACUAGGAUGUCAUGGCACGUGGAAUCUCAGCUACACUACACAGUGACCUCUCGUGAUGCCUUGUCUGGAUUAUGAAAUCAUCUCGUUCCAGAUAGAGGUGAACUCCCGGAGGUACAACACGUGCAUGCAGGCUGCUCGAUUGAUGAUUAGCGGUUCAGAUCGAGCAUAGCGGGAUAUAGCAUAAAUAUAUAGGAUCCAAAACCCAACAAAAUUAGGUUUCGGUUGACUAGGAUUUGUUCGGAUCCACAAAAGGCUAAUGUUUAUUCAUUUGUGACUCUUCUUUACCAUCGUCAUGUAUGUGACAUCUACUGCUCCUCUGUUCCAUAUUAAUUGGCUUGUAUUAAGUGCCUGCUCGGUA
Brachypodium distachyon (stiff brome) is the source of this 3354-nucleotide RNA transcript. It is a transcript of the gene named 1,4-alpha-glucan-branching enzyme 3, chloroplastic/amyloplastic, with no coding region annotated. The record is from RefSeq and is a predicted model, not a curated record. The transcript is spliced from 22 exons. NCBI's taxonomy places the organism in Eukaryota, Viridiplantae, Streptophyta, Magnoliopsida, Poales, Poaceae.